This 68-nucleotide transfer RNA is filed under the name Ornebius bimaculatus. RNAcentral's name for it is "tRNA-Gln". Lineage: Eukaryota; Metazoa; Arthropoda; Insecta; Orthoptera; Mogoplistidae. The record is from RNAcentral.
UAUAUUUUAGUGUAAGAAGCACAACAAAUUUUGAUUUUGUUAGGGUAGUUUAAUUCUAUGAAAUAUAA